CAGGGAGACAACAAAAUGUUUAAUAUUAUUUUGUCACCUUAGGUCGAUCGGNAUCUCACGUUCUUAAUUUAUUAAGAAUCUCAUUUCCUAAGUUUUUCUAGGUCACACCCAUUAUUUUCCUGGGCCAUUAGCUCAGGUGGUUAGAGCGCACCCCUGAUAAGGGUGAGGUCCCUGGUUCAAGUCCAGGAUGGCCCAUAUCUCUAUGUUGGGGGUAUAGCUCAGUUGGUAGAGCGCCUGCUUUGCAAGCAGGAUGUCAGCGGUUCGAGUCCGCUUACCUCCACUGAUUACCACCUCUUCCAUAAUCUGUAGAAAGGAAAAUUUUUUGAGUUGUGAUCAUUAUUCUGAACGAAUCUAGCUUCCUAAUGAAGUCAUUAAGAUGCUGGACUCAUUGAAUUAAUUUCAUUGUUUUCAGAGAACCUUGACAACUGCAUAGAUUAUUUUAAAGACAAUAAGCAUCUUUAAUGAUGCAGAUUUAUUAUUUGUGCGAAUGCAUUAAUAACAAUUCUAUUAAGCUGAUGCUUCAAUUAUGAAGUUAUU
Molecule: transfer RNA, 537 nt
Filed under: uncultured Prochlorococcus sp.
Lineage: Bacteria; Bacillati; Cyanobacteriota; Cyanophyceae; Synechococcales; Prochlorococcaceae
Description: partial 16S-23S ribosomal RNA intergenic spacer
Rfam family: tRNA (bases 208-280)
Source: RNAcentral